Molecule: non-coding RNA, 134 nt
Organism: Podarcis lilfordi (Lilford's wall lizard)
Lineage: Eukaryota; Metazoa; Chordata; Lepidosauria; Squamata; Lacertidae
Source: the annotation of a GenBank genome assembly
ACCAGUGUGGUGUAGUGGUUAUAGUGUCAGACUAAGACCUGGGAGUUGGGAUGCGGGUGGCGCUGUAGGUUAAACCACAGCGCCUAGGACUUGCUGAUCAGAAGGUCGGCGGUUCGAAUCCCCGUGACAGGGUG